This 341-nucleotide ribosomal RNA is filed under the name uncultured bacterium. RNAcentral's name for it is "bacterial SSU rRNA". It matches the Rfam family "Bacterial small subunit ribosomal RNA", at positions 28 to 372 of the family's 1533-position model. The record is from RNAcentral.
GACGAACGCUGGCGGCGUGCUUAACACAUGCAAGUCGAGCGGUAAGGCCCUUUCGGGGGUACACGAGCGGCGAACGGGUGAGUAACACGUGGGUGACCUGCCCUCAGCUCUGGGAUAAGCCUGGGAAACCGGGUCUAAUACUGGAUAUGACUCCAUGACGCAUGUUGUGGGGUGGAAAGCCUUGUGCGGCUGAGGAUGGGCCCGCGGCCUAUCAGCUUGUUGGUGGGGUGAGGCCUACCAAGGCGACGACGGGUAGCCGGCCUGAGAGGGCGACCGGCCACACUGGGACUGAGACACGGCCCAGACUCCUACGGGAGGCAGCAGUGGGAAUCUUGCGCAAU